GAUGAACGCUGGCGACGUGCCUAAUACAUGCAAGUAGAACGCUGAAGCUUGGUGCUUGCACCGAGCGGAUGAGUUGCGAACGGGUGAGUAACGCGUAGGUAACCUGCCUCUUAGCGGGGGAUAACUAUUGGAAACGAUAGCUAAUACCGCAUAAAAGUCGAUAUCGCAUGAUAUUGAUUUGAAAGGUGCAAUUGCAUCACUAAGAGAUGGACCUGCGUUGUAUUAGCUAGUUGGUGAGGUAACGGCUCACCAAGGCGACGAUACAUAGCCGACCUGAGAGGGUGAUCGGCCACACUGGGACUGAGACACGGCCCAGACUCCUACGGGAGGCAGCAGUAGGGAAUCUUCGGCAAUGGGGGCAACCCUGACCGAGCAACGCCGCGUGAGUGAAGAAGGUUUUCGGAUCGGAAAGCUCUGUUGUAAGAGAAGAACGAGUGUGAGAGUGGAAAGUUCACACUGUGACGGUAACUUACCAGAAAGGGACGGCUAACUACGUG
This 497-nucleotide ribosomal RNA is filed under the name uncultured bacterium. RNAcentral describes it as "partial 16S ribosomal RNA". It matches the Rfam family "Bacterial small subunit ribosomal RNA", at positions 28 to 507 of the family's 1533-position model. The record is from RNAcentral.